Catharus ustulatus (Swainson's thrush) is the source of this 1902-nucleotide long non-coding RNA. RefSeq lists it as uncharacterized. The transcript is spliced from 2 exons. Lineage: Eukaryota; Metazoa; Chordata; Aves; Passeriformes; Turdidae. The record is from RefSeq and is a predicted model, not a curated record.
UCCUCGAGGCUGCCCACACAACCAGGAUACAAAGCUGGUCCAGUCUGUGGCUGGAACAGUGUGACACAGCCAGAGUCAUUUUGCACAUCAGUAAAAGCACUCUGUGCAGGAGCUGCUUUGUGCAGGAAGAAAUUAGAAAGAUGAGUCACCAUCAGUUGGCAUGAAGGCUCUGGAUGUGACACCUCCGGUCACAAAGUGGGGACCAGUUCUACUUGUACUCAGUAGUACAGCAAAACCUUCUUUUCUGCUGUAGCACAGCAGCCCAUCCACCUUGUAAGAAAGCCUGUCUGUGAAGUGGCUUAAAUGGAGGCACCUAUCAGGUAGAAAGCCACUUGCUAUGUGCUUGAACAGCUCUCAACAAUGCAAAGCCAUCAACAAGGUUGCAGUUUUGGAAGAAGAAGAGGGAGAAAAAAGAUGGAAAGUCUUUCCACCUACUAAGUGGAAAGUUAAGAAAAUGGGAAGGCUUUUACCGACAUGGAAGGCUGUUGCACUUCAAAGAAUUGCUGUCUGCAAAUGAGCACGUUCAGUAUGCACAGCCAUCCCCAGUGGAUGCAAAACUCACCGGAACACCACCUGUGUGCUGUGAGGUUUGUUCUGUGUACAAGAAAGUCUGAACUUAAACACCUGACCUCUUUUUCCCCUAUAGCUGACCACAAAUAGUUGAAAGGAAUUUGGAAGAAUAUGGCUGUCCCCCUAGUGUAAAGUGGAAUAGUACCAGCUGAAACAAAUGAGUCUUUGCUCAUCCGGCUGACCAAGAGUAGAAUUCACCGGUCACUGAGAAUAAUUUUUGGUUUUAAAUUAUCCAACUCUCAAGAAAAAACACAUUGUGAUGGUUAAAAUUAGGUUCACUGUUAAAGAGUUGGUAGGAUGCACUGCUUCCACAGUAGUUACUGUGCUGAGAAUUCGAAUGUGAUAAUCCUAAACCACGAAUGCAAACAUUAAACUAAAGACAUAAAUAUCAGAGCCAUUCUUACUCUAUGAAUCAGGACCCAGGUCUCUUACCUUCUUCUGGUCCAACCAGUUACUGGAGGCAUACUGGCUUCUAAUGACUUUUCAGAUGCCAGUUCCCAACUACUGAAAUCUGUAUUAUCAUUGCUGUUGUAACAUAAAUGGAAGAUACAGUUGUUAACUAGUCCCCAGUUUGGUUUUGGAAGCUCCUGUCUGAGUGUAAUUGCAAUGUUAAUUCUCUCAGCCACUUUAAUGGUUCUGACACCACAGAGGAUGAACAGUUUCACUUGUAUUCCCGCUGUAAUUACUAAGAGGUUGUAGCCAUUACAUUAAGAAAAACUAUUUGCUGCAUGUACUUGUCUAUGUGUAGAAAUGCCUUUGCUUUUUGAGAGUGGGAGAAAAUACUACCAGGUGUUUAUGAUAAAAUCCAAGGAGGUCAGGGGCAUUCUGGAUACUAACAAUGAGUUCACUAAGUGAGCUAAAGAUAAAAAAUCAACAUUUAUUUUUGAUGUCAGGAGUGGUUUUAGCUCAGCUCUAAAAGAAGUGGUAUUGGUGUGGAUGAGGUACCCCACAGACACAUACUCUGCAUGAGGUGGAAUGAGGCUGAUUUUAGGUAAAUAGCACUACACACAGGCAGUUCUAGUGUAAGUGAAAGGUUACUUAAAUUGGUUUAGCCACAAGAAGUGGUAGAAUAAUAUAUCUGAAACAAUAUACAGAGAAAGAAAAAAAAGGUAAGUAGGAAGGUGUAAAGGAUGAAGUAGCUAUUUUGCAUAAGAUUGAAAUUACUUUAGUCAGUCCAAGAAGUUGCCUCAAAAGCAAUGUUAAGUUUGCAGUCUGCUUCAGCAGCAACCCUGUGAACUGGUACAGACAAAUCAUCUACUGGAAGGUGAAUGUGAAAAUUCAAGGAAUUAUUUGGGACACAAUGAUGAGAAAAAAACACCAACAAAACACCAA